AGAGUUUGAUCCUGGCUCAGAUUGAACGCUGGCGGCAGGCCUAACACAUGCAAGUCGAGCGGUAACAGGGAUCAGCUUGCUGAUUCGCUGACGAGCGGCGGACGGGUGAGUAAUGUCUGGGAAACUGCCUGAUGGAGGGGGAUAACCACUGGAAACGGUGGCUAAUACCGCAUAACGUCGCAAGACCAAAGAGGGGGACCUUCGGGCCUCUUGCCAUCAGAUGUGCCCAGAUGGGAUUAGCUAGUAGGUGGGGUAACGGCUCACCUAGGCGACGAUCCCUAGCUGGUCUGAGAGGAUGACCAGCCACACUGGAACUGAGACACGGUCCAGACUCCUACGGGAGGCAGCAGUGGGGAAUAUUGCACAAUGGGCGCAAGCCUGAUGCAGCCAUGCCGCGUGUAUGAAGAAGGCCUUCGGGUUGUAAAGUACUUUCAGCGGGGAGGAAGGCGAUAAGGUUAAUAACCUUGUCGAUUGACGUUACCCGCAGAAGAAGCACCGGCUAACUCCGUGCCAGCAGCCGCGGUAAUACGGAGGGUGCAAGCGUUAAUCGGAAUUACUGGGCGUAAAGCGCACGCAGGCGGUCUGUCAAGUCGGAUGUGAAAUCCCCGGGCUCAACCUGGGAACUGCAUUCGAAACUGGUAGGCUAGAGUCUUGUAGAGGGGGGUAGAAUUCCAGGUGUAGCGGUGAAAUGCGUAGAGAUCUGGAGGAAUACCGGUGGCGAAGGCGGCCCCCUGGACAAAGACUGACGCUCAGGUGCGAAAGCGUGGGGAGCAAACAGGAUUAGAUACCCUGGUAGUCCACGCCGUAAACGAUGUCGACUUGGAGGUUGUGCCCUUGAGGCGUGGCUUCCGGAGCUAACGCGUUAAGUCGACCGCCUGGGGAGUACGGCCGCAAGGUUAAAACUCAAAUGAAUUGACGGGGGCCCGCACAAGCGGUGGAGCAUGUGGUUUAAUUCGAUGCAACGCGAAGAACCUUACCUACUCUUGACAUCCAGAGAACUUUCCAGAGAUGGAUUGGUGCCUUCGGGAACUCUGAGACAGGUGCUGCAUGGCUGUCGUCAGCUCGUGUUGUGAAAUGUUGGGUUAAGUCCCGCAACGAGCGCAACCCUUAUCCUUUGUUGCCAGCGGUCCGGCCGGGAACUCAAAGGAGACUGCCAGUGAUAAACUGGAGGAAGGUGGGGAUGACGUCAAGUCAUCAUGGCCCUUACGAGUAGGGCUACACACGUGCUACAAUGGCGCAUACAAAGAGAAGCGACCUCGCGAGAGCAAGCGGACCUCAUAAAGUGCGUCGUAGUCCGGAUUGGAGUCUGCAACUCGACUCCAUGAAGUCGGAAUCGCUAGUAAUCGUAGAUCAGAAUGCUACGGUGAAUACGUUCCCGGGCCUUGUACACACCGCCCGUCACACCAUGGGAGUGGGUUGCAAAAGAAGUAGGUAGCUUAACCUUCGGGAGGGCGCUUACCACUUUGUGAUUCAUGACUGGGGUGAAGUCGUAACAAGGUAACC
Molecule: ribosomal RNA, 1503 nt
Filed under: uncultured bacterium
Lineage: Bacteria
Description: bacterial SSU rRNA
Rfam family: Bacterial small subunit ribosomal RNA
Source: RNAcentral